GACGAACGCUGGCGGCGUGCUUAACACAUGCAAGUCGAACGGAAAGGCCCUGCUUUUGUGGGGUGCUCGAGUGGCGAACGGGUGAGUAACACGUGAGUAACCUGCCCUUGACUUUGGGAUAACUUCAGGAAACUGGGGCUAAUACCGGAUAGGAGCUCCUGCUGCAUGGUGGGGGUUGGAAAGUUCCGGCGGUUGGGGAUGGACUCGCGGCUUAUCAGCUUGUUGGUGGGUUAGUGGCUUACCAAGGCUUUGACGGGUAGCCGGCCUGAGAGGGUGACCGGCCACAUUGGGACUGAGAUACGGCCCAGACUCCUACGGGAGGCAGCAGUGGGGAAUAUUGCACAAUGGGCGGAAGCCUGAUGCAGCAACGCCGCGUGCGGGAUGACGGCCUUCGGGUUGUAAACCGCUUUCGCCUGUGACGAAGCGUGAGUGACGGUAAUGGGUAAAGAAGCACCGGCUAACUACGUG
This 468-nucleotide ribosomal RNA is filed under the name uncultured bacterium. RNAcentral describes it as "partial 16S ribosomal RNA". It matches the Rfam family "Bacterial small subunit ribosomal RNA", at positions 28 to 507 of the family's 1533-position model. The record is from RNAcentral.